UACGUAGGGUCCGAGCGUUGUCCGGAAUUACUGGGCGUAAAGAGCUCGUAGGUGGUUUGUCACGUUGUUCGUGAAAACUCACAGCUCAACUGUGGGCGUGCGGGCGAUACGGGCAGACUGGAGUACUGCAGGGGAGACUGGAAUUCCUGGUGUAGCGGUGGAAUGCGCAGAUAUCAGGAGGAACACCGGUGGCGAAGGCGGGUCUCUGGGCUAUAACUGACGCUCAUGCACGAAAGCGUGGGGAGCAAACAGG
This 253-nucleotide ribosomal RNA is filed under the name uncultured bacterium. Its description in RNAcentral is "partial 16S ribosomal RNA". It matches the Rfam family "Bacterial small subunit ribosomal RNA", at positions 524 to 776 of the family's 1533-position model. The record is from RNAcentral.